UCCUUGAGUGCAGCGUUGAUG
This 21-nucleotide microRNA is filed under the name Amborella trichopoda. RNAcentral describes it as "atr-miR397a". Its record names the gene atr-miR397a. The record is from miRBase by way of RNAcentral. Lineage: Eukaryota; Viridiplantae; Streptophyta; Magnoliopsida; Amborellales; Amborellaceae.